GCCUUCGUGGUGUAAUGGUAGCACACUCGACACGUACUCUAGAGGUCCGGGUUCGAGUCUCGGAGAAGGAA
Molecule: transfer RNA, 71 nt
Filed under: Stegodyphus mimosarum
Lineage: Eukaryota; Metazoa; Arthropoda; Arachnida; Araneae; Eresidae
Rfam family: tRNA
About the family: Transfer RNA (tRNA) molecules are approximately 80 nucleotides in length. Their secondary structure includes four short double-helical elements and three loops (D, anti-codon, and T loops).
Source: Rfam by way of RNAcentral